This 495-nucleotide ribosomal RNA is filed under the name uncultured bacterium. RNAcentral's name for it is "partial 16S ribosomal RNA". It matches the Rfam family "Bacterial small subunit ribosomal RNA", at positions 28 to 523 of the family's 1533-position model. The record is from RNAcentral.
GAUGAACGCUAGCGGGAGGCCUAACACAUGCAAGCUGAGCGGUAGAGUUUCUUCGGAGACUUGAGAGCGGCGUACGGGUGCGGAACACGUGUGCAACCUGCCUUUAUCAGGGGGAUAGCCUUUCGAAAGGAAGAUUAAUACCCCAUAAUAUAUAGAGUGGCAUCACUUUAUAUUGAAAACUGAGGUGGAUAAAGAUGGGCACGCGCAAGAUUAGAUAGUUGGUGAGGUAACGGCUCACCAAGUCGAUGAUCUUUAGGGGGCCUGAGAGGGUGCUCCCCCACACUGGUACUGAGACACGGACCAGACUCCUACGAGAGGCAGGAGUGAGGAAUAUUGGACAAUGGGUUAGCGCCUGAUCCAGCCAUCCCGCGUGAAGGACGACGGCCCUAUGGGUUGUAAACUUCUUUUGUACAGGGAUAAACCUAUUUACGUGUAAAUAGCGGAAGGUACUGUACGAAUAAGCACCGGCUAACUCCGUGCCAGCAGCCGCAGUAC